UCAAACUUGGUCAUUUAGAGGAAGUAAAAGUCGUAACAAGGUUUCCGUAGGUGAACCUGCGGAAGGAUCAUUAUUGAAUGUAGUAUGUCUUGGUAGGUUGUAGCUGGCCUUUCAAGGCAUGUGCACACCUGUCUUGACUUUAUUCAUCCACCUGUGCACCAAUUGUAGUCUUUUCGCUUACCUUGAGUUAAGAAAUGCAGGCUCUAGUCAGUUGUGAUAUACUGGAUUUGAAAAUUGCUCCUUGGCUGUUUUCUUUGCCUUGUCAAAGUAUUAUUCACUUAAGCAAAAAGGGGAAAGGCUAUGUCCUCUAUCAUAUACCAUUUUGUAUGUUGUCAGAAUGUGUUCAAUGGACAUUAAUGCCCAUAACAACCUUAUACAACUUUCAGCAACGGAUCUCUUGGCUCUCGCAUCGAUGAAGAACGCAGC
Molecule: unclassified non-coding RNA, 426 nt
Filed under: uncultured fungus
Lineage: Eukaryota; Fungi
Description: partial contains small subunit ribosomal RNA, internal transcribed spacer 1, and 5.8S ribosomal RNA
Rfam family: Eukaryotic small subunit ribosomal RNA (bases 1-73)
Source: RNAcentral